Molecule: ribosomal RNA, 497 nt
Filed under: uncultured bacterium
Lineage: Bacteria
Description: partial 16S ribosomal RNA
Rfam family: Bacterial small subunit ribosomal RNA
Source: RNAcentral
GAUGAACGCUGGCGGCGUGCCUAAUACAUGCAAGUCGAGCGAACAGACGAGGAGCUUGCUCCUCUGACGUUAGCGGCGGACGGGUGAGUAACACGUGGAUAACCUACCUAUAAGACUGGGAUAACUUACGGAAACCGGAGCUAAUACCGGAUAACAUGUUGAACCGCAUGGUUCAACAGUGAAAGACGGUCUUGCUGUCACUUAUAGAUGGAUCCGCGCCGCAUUAGCUAGUCGGUAAGGUAACGGCUUACCAAGGCAACGAUGCGUAGCCGACCUGAGAGGGUGAUCGGCCACACUGGAACUGAGACACGGUCCAGACUCCUACGGGAGGCAGCAGUAGGGAAUCUUCCGCAAUGGGCGAAAGCCUGACGGAGCAACGCCGCGUGAGUGAAGAAGGUCUUCGGAUCGUAAAACUCUGUUAUUAGGGAAGAACAAAUGUGUAAGUAACUAUGCACGUCUUGACGGUACCUAAUCAGAAAGCCACGGCUAACUACGUG